ACCUGGCUGGCUCAGUUGGCAGAGCACAUGACUUUUGAUCUCAGGGUCAUGAGUUCGAUCCCCAUGUCAGGUG
This 73-nucleotide transfer RNA is filed under the name Felis catus (domestic cat). It matches the Rfam family "tRNA". Rfam says of the family: Transfer RNA (tRNA) molecules are approximately 80 nucleotides in length. Their secondary structure includes four short double-helical elements and three loops (D, anti-codon, and T loops). Lineage: Eukaryota; Metazoa; Chordata; Mammalia; Carnivora; Felidae. RNAcentral also lists the same sequence under 3 other names. The record is from Rfam by way of RNAcentral.